ACCGCUUUUGGAGUUCGAUUAAGCCAUGCGAGUCGAGAGCCUUAGGGGCUCGGCAUACUGCUCAGUAACACGUGGAUAACCUGCCCUAUUGUCUGGAAUAACCUCGGGAAACUGAGAACAAGGCCGGAUAACCCACAAUGCCUGGAACGGUUUGUGGGUGAAGAUAGGAUGGGUCUGCGGCGUAUCAGGUCGUAGGGGGUGUAAUGGACCUCCUAGCCAUCGACGCGUACGGGUGUUGGGAGACAUAGCCCGGAGAUGGAUUCUGAGACACGAAUCCAGACCCUACGGGGUGCAGCAGGCGCGAAAACUUCACACUGCAGGAAACUGUGAUGAGGGAACUCCAAGUGCAUUCACUAAUGUGGAUGCUUUUUUUGACUAUUAAUCGGUCAACGAAUAAGGGCUGGGAAAGACCGGUGCCAGCCGCCGCGGUAAUACCGGCAGCUCAAGUGGUCGUCGCUUUUAUUGGGCCUAAAACGUCCGUAGCCUGUUUGGUAAAUCUGUGGGUAAAUCAACCAGCUUAACUGGUUGAAUUCUGCAGAGACUGCCAGACUAGGGACCGGGAGAGGUGUGGGGUACUCUAGGGGUAGGGGUAAAAUCCUGCCAUCCUUAGAGGACCACCAGUUGCGAAGGCGCCACACUGGAACGGAUCCGACGGUCAGGGACGAAGCCUAGGG
RNAcentral lists this ribosomal RNA (674 nucleotides) under uncultured euryarchaeote SB95-35. RNAcentral describes it as "bacterial SSU rRNA". It matches the Rfam family "Archaeal small subunit ribosomal RNA", at positions 26 to 716 of the family's 1478-position model. The record is from RNAcentral. Lineage: Archaea; Methanobacteriati; Methanobacteriota.